Molecule: ribosomal RNA, 857 nt
Filed under: uncultured bacterium
Lineage: Bacteria
Description: bacterial SSU rRNA
Rfam family: Bacterial small subunit ribosomal RNA
Source: RNAcentral
AGUCGAGCGAGUCUGCCUUGAAGAUCGGAGUGCUUGCACUCUGUGAAACAAGAUACAGGCUAGCGGCGGACGGGUGAGUAACACGUGGGUAACCUGCCCAAGAGAUCGGGAUAACACCUGGAAACAGAUGCUAAUACCGGAUAACAACAGAUGAUGCCUAUCAACUGUUUAAAAGAUGGUUCUGCUAUCACUCUUGGAUGGACCUGCGGUGCAUUAGCUAGUUGGUAGGGUAACGGCCUACCAAGGCGAUGAUGCAUAGCCGAGUUGAGAGACUGAUCGGCCACAUUGGGACUGAGACACGGCCCAAACUCCUACGGGAGGCAGCAGUAGGGAAUCUUCCACAAUGGACGCAAGUCUGAUGGAGCAACGCCGCGUGAGUGAAGAAGGGUUUCGGCUCGUAAAGCUCUGUUGUUGGUGAAGAAGGACGGGGGUAGUAACUGACCUUUGUUUGACGGUAAUCAAUUAGAAAGUCACGGCUAACUACGUGCCAGCAGCCGCGGUAAUACGUAGGUGGCAAGCGUUGUCCGGAUUUAUUGGGCGUAAAGCGAGUGCAGGCGGUUCGAUAAGUCUGAUGUGAAAGCCUUCGGCUCAACCGGAGAAUUGCAUCAGAAACUGUCGAGCUUGAGUACAGAAGAGGAGAGUGGAACUCCAUGCGUAGCGGUGAAAUGCGUAGAUAUAUGGAAGAACACCGGUGGCGAAGGCGGCUCUCUGGUCUGUUACUGACGCUGAGGCUCGAAAGCAUGGGUAGCGAACAGGAUUAGAUACCCUGGUAGUCCAUGCCGUAAACGAUGAGUGCUAAGUGUUGGGAGGUUUCCGCCUCUCAGUGCUGCAGCUAACGCAUUAAGCACUCCGCCUGG